RNAcentral lists this transfer RNA (76 nucleotides) under Staphylococcus gallinarum. RNAcentral describes it as "tRNA-Ala". It matches the Rfam family "tRNA". From Rfam's summary of the family: Transfer RNA (tRNA) molecules are approximately 80 nucleotides in length. The record is from RNAcentral. RNAcentral also lists the same sequence under 1 other name. Lineage: Bacteria; Bacillati; Bacillota; Bacilli; Caryophanales; Staphylococcaceae.
GGGGGCUUAGCUCAGAUGGGAGAGCACCUGCUUUGCACGCAGGAGGUCAGCGGUUCGAUCCCGCUAGUCUCCACCA